RNAcentral lists this long non-coding RNA (126 nucleotides) under Cricetulus griseus (Chinese hamster). RNAcentral describes it as "lncRNA (ENSCGRG00000025048.1)". Lineage: Eukaryota; Metazoa; Chordata; Mammalia; Rodentia; Cricetidae. The record is from RNAcentral.
CAUGAAUUAGAUGCCAGUUGAUAGUUCUUUCUUCCAAGGAUGAGGCAGAUGGCAGCACUCCUCUAUUAUCUUCUGUCCCAGUGGAGAAGGAAGAGGAAGGAAACCGGAAGCUGUGAGAGCACCGAC